CCUACGGGUGACAGCAGUGAGGAAUAUUGGUCAAUGGACGCGAGUCUGAACCAGCCAUGCCGCGUGCAGGAAGACGGCCCUAUGAGUUGUACACUGCUUUUGUACGAGGGUAAACGCAGAUACGCGUCUCUGUCUGAAAGUAUCGUACGAAUAAGGAUCGGCUAACUCCGUGCCAGCAGCCGCGGUAAUCCGGAGGGUUCAAGCGUUAUCCGGUUUUAUUGGGUUUAAAGGGUGCGUAGGCGGUCUGAUAAGUUAGAGGUGAAAUCCCGGGGCUCAACUUCGGAAUUGCCUCUGAUACUGUUCGGCUAGAGUGUAGUUGCGGUAUGCGGAAUGUGUGGUGUAGCGGUGAAAUGCUUAGAGAUCAGACAGAACACCGAUUGCGAAGGCAGCUUACCAAGCUACUACUGACGUUGAGGCACGAAAGCGUGGGGAGCAAACAGGAUUAGAUACCCGUGUAGUC
Molecule: ribosomal RNA, 460 nt
Filed under: uncultured bacterium
Lineage: Bacteria
Description: partial 16S ribosomal RNA
Rfam family: Bacterial small subunit ribosomal RNA
Source: RNAcentral